This 1305-nucleotide long non-coding RNA is filed under the name Apteryx haastii (Great spotted kiwi). Its description in RNAcentral is "lncRNA (ENSAHAG00000005272.1)". Lineage: Eukaryota; Metazoa; Chordata; Aves; Apterygiformes; Apterygidae. The record is from RNAcentral.
AUGGAGGCUACUGGAGGCUCCUUGCAGAAAAGGGGCCGAGCUUUGCACGCCAGCUGCAUCGCUCCUCUGCGGCGAUGCGGCAYGCACCAUUUUCAGGCUGGGCAGGGCAGCUCGGCACAGCCCAGCGGGAUGGCGGGAGCUGGGACUGCUCCAUUUGACACAGUGCAUGAGCCCUGGGCACACACACCACUGUCACACCCUGGUCCUGCCCUCCCAAGCAUCCACCCAGCAUCGCAAAUGCAUCCUGCACCCCACGCACAUGUGCCUCAGUCACCAGGGGUCCUACACUGCCUUCCUACACCCUCCGUAGUCCUUCUGCACCACUGCCCUGCAUCUAGCCUGCCUGGGAACAGRGCUAGGCUCCCUCCAUGCUGCCCCUCACCUGGCAGAGGGGUCUCGGGGACAGCCCUGCACAUCCCACACUUGGGGAUGGGCAUUUCAGGGAGGACCAGCAUGCAGGACCUCCGUGAAGGAGGCAGAGAUGUUCCCAGCACCAUCCAGGAUGUAUCAUCCUGGGUGCCCAGGGCAGUCGCAUCCUCCCCUGCUGCGCUCAAUCACCAUGCAAACAAGCAGGAGGCCCCAAACAGGGCUGCAACAGGGCAGCUGGGUUGCCAGGCAUCUGCCAGGCGGUGCUGGCACCAGGGCAGACGGCAAUGGGACCCCCGAAACCCCCCAAACCCCAAAGGCUUCAGCCCUGGCUGCCUUGGGGAGAGCGGGAUCAUGCAUUUGCACCUCCUGGACCAGGGCAUUCGGCUGCAGCGCUGCGGACCCACAUGCUGGGGCCCUGAGGACGCACCGGCUUCCCUCCAGCCUCCUGCCCCAGGCAGCACAGCCUGCCCCACCACCAGCACGGCCGCAGCGCCGUACGCACCCACGGGCUGGCCAGGCAGGGCUGGCGCUCCUCCRCGCCGUUGCUUUUCCAGGAACACUGCACUCAGCCACAGGCCUGCCAGGUCAGGAUGCUCCCUGGAGAGGCACUUAGAGCUCUCCCAGCCUCCCAGCACAGUCCUCCUCCACCUCCUCCCCCUUUCCCUGGUCCUCUGGGGCCAGGACUUGUCUGCGGAGAUGCUUGUCUCUGGCCAAGUUUAUGGCUCACCUCCCCCUUCUCCAGCCCCCUCCCCGCACGUGCAUCCCGGCACCUCUCCACCCGGGUCAGCAGGCCGAAUAAAGCAGCACGUCGCUCCCCCUGAAGGGAAGCAUCCUGGGGUAAAGAUUCAGCAAAGUGAGGCGCCCGGGGCCAGAGGCUCCCUGCAAGGCUCCCUGCAAGGCUCCCAUGGUGAACAGAGCAAGGCAGGACAGGACUGA